RNAcentral lists this ribosomal RNA (468 nucleotides) under uncultured bacterium. RNAcentral describes it as "partial 16S ribosomal RNA". It matches the Rfam family "Bacterial small subunit ribosomal RNA", at positions 28 to 507 of the family's 1533-position model. The record is from RNAcentral.
GACGAACGCUGGCGGCGUGCUUAACACAUGCAAGUCGAACGGAAAGGCCCUGCUUUUGUGGGGUGCUCGAGUGGCGAACGGGUGAGUAACACGUGAGUAACCUGCCCUUGACUUUGGGAUAACCUCAGGAAACUGGGGCUAAUACCGGAUAGGAGCUCCUGCUGCAUGGUGGGGGUUGGAAAGUUUCGGCGGUUGGGGAUGGACUCGCGGCUUAUCAGCUUGUUGGUGGGGUAGUGGCUUACCAAGGCUUUGACGGGUAGCCGGCCUGAGAGGGUGACCGGCCACAUUGGGACUGAGAUACGGCCCAGACUCCUACGGGAGGCAGCAGUGGGGAAUAUUGCACAAUGGGCGGAAGCUUGAUGCAGCAACGCCGCGUGCGGGAUGACGGCCUUCGGGUUGUAAACCGCUUUCGCCUGUGACGAAGCGUGAGUGACGGUAAUGGGUAAAGAAGCACCGGCUAACUACGUG